RNAcentral lists this ribosomal RNA (646 nucleotides) under uncultured bacterium. Its description in RNAcentral is "bacterial SSU rRNA". It matches the Rfam family "Bacterial small subunit ribosomal RNA", at positions 794 to 1501 of the family's 1533-position model. The record is from RNAcentral.
UCAUAGCUGUAACCAAUGAGUAUCCAGUAAUAUUGUUAGUUUUCCAUUUUAAUUAAUGUAUAUAAUCAAUAUUAUAAUGUUAACACAGAAUACUCCGCCUGGGGAUUGUGCUCGCAAGAGUUAAACUCAAAGGAAUUGACGGGGACUCACACAAGCAAUGGAGCAUGUGAUUUGAAUUCGAUGCAAAACGCGAAUCUUACCAGAACUUAAGUGAUCGUAUUAUUUUAAUUAAGAAAUAUUUGAUGACACUGCCAGGUGGUGCAUGGCUGACGAAAGUUCGUAUUGUGAAAUGUCUGGUUAAAUCCAAUAACGAACGCAACCCUGUUAGUUUUUAAUAGAUAAUUAAAUUUUAUAGGAUUAAGUCAAGUCUUUAUGCUCUCUAUCUUCUGGGCUACAUACAUGCUACAACGCAUAUUACAAUAAAUUUUUAAUUCUAAAAAUAUGAGAAAUGUUCGAAUUAUAGAUUGAAACUCAUCUAUAUGAAGAUGGAAUUGCUAGUAAUCGUUAAUUAGUAUGUAACGGUGAAUAUGUUCUUGAGUCUUGUACACACCGCCCGUCACACUCUGGGAGUUAAUCGUUUUUAGAGCUUUUCAAAAAUUUGUGAGAAAACGGGUACUGACUGGAGUGAAGUCGUAACAAGGUAACC